UCUUCUGCAUCUUUAAACAUCUCUUGUUGGUUCCUAGUAGAUAUGUAUUAAUUACAAGAAAUAAAUAUUACAAUAAAAAUAAGACAAGCCUACAGUUUAAUUGACUGAUAAAGGAUACUCACAAUGAGUCCAGCAGCAACAUCAUUUACAGGAGUACCAUCCUUUCUCGUACGAGUCUUGGCCCACAUGCAGAGGUGGCUUAAUUUUUUUUCUAUCCUUUUGAACUGAGUAUACAACAUAAAAAAAGAUUAAAUGAACACAAUAGACAUAUUCCUCAAAGCAAGCACUUAAAGAAAUUUAGAUGGGUUUUACUUGUAGGUGAUUGAUUUGCGUGAAGCUCCUUGUUCUUGCGCAAUGGAGGUACUUGUACUUCUUCUUGCAUUCAAUGUUGGUAUCUGUCCUAUUCU
RNAcentral lists this long non-coding RNA (407 nucleotides) under Elaeis guineensis (African oil palm). RNAcentral describes it as "long non-coding RNA (EGUI_LNC036295)". The record is from RNAcentral. Lineage: Eukaryota; Viridiplantae; Streptophyta; Magnoliopsida; Arecales; Arecaceae.